AGAGUUUGAUCCUGGCUCAGGAUGAACGCUGGCGGCGUGCUUAAUGCAUGCAAGUCGAACGAGGGUCCUUUGAUUGGUAACUUUCGAAGGACACCUAGUGGCGAACGGGUGAGUAACACGUGAGCAACCUGCCCCGAAGACCGGGAUAGCCCAUGGAAACGUGGAUUAAUACCGGAUACCCUCGAGGGACCAUAUGGCCCCACGAGGAAAGGCUCCGGCGCUUCGGGAUGGACUCGCGGCCUAUCAGCUUGUUGGUGAGGUAACGGCUCACCAAGGCUCUGACGGGUAGCUGGUCUGAGAGGACGAUCAGCCACACUGGGACUGAGACACGGCCCAGACUCCUACGGGAGGCAGCAGCAGGGAAUAUUGCACAAUGGGCGCAAGCCUGAUGCAGCGACGCCGCGUGAGGGAUGAAGGCUUUCGAGUUGUAAACCUCUUUCAGUGGGGAAGAAGCGCAAGUGACGGUACCCACACAAGAAGGCCCGGCCAACUACGUGCCAGCAGCCGCGGUAAUACGUAGGGGCCAAGCGUUAUCCGGAUUUAUUGGGCGUAAAGAGCUCGUAGGCGGCUUGGCAAGUCGGUCGUGAAAGUCCGAGGCUCAACCUCGGAAUGCCGGUCGAAACUGCCAUGGCUAGGGUUCGGUAGAGGAGAGUGGAAUUCUCGGUGUAGCGGUGAAAUGCGCAGAUAUCGAGAGGAACACCAGUAGCGAAGGCGGCUCUCUGGGCCGAUACCGACGCUGAGGAGCGA
Molecule: ribosomal RNA, 747 nt
Filed under: uncultured sediment bacterium
Lineage: Bacteria
Description: bacterial SSU rRNA
Rfam family: Bacterial small subunit ribosomal RNA
Source: RNAcentral